Molecule: ribosomal RNA, 401 nt
Filed under: Foraminifera environmental sample
Lineage: Eukaryota; Foraminifera
Description: partial small subunit ribosomal RNA
Source: RNAcentral
CGGUCACGUUCGUUGCAUUCAUUUAUAAUAGUAAGUAUAAUAAUAUAUAAACACAAAUUAUAUAAAUAAUAUAAUACGUUCACUUUAAAUCUCUUACGAGCAGAACAGUAAUAAUAUUAAUAAAAUAUAAUAUAAGUGAAUAAUAUAUAUUAAAUAUAUUACAUAUAUAUUUUAAUCUGAAACGCAAUUAAGCAGACAGAUCACUCCACGAACUAAGAACGGCCAUGCACCACCUAUCAUACAAUCAUGAAAGGACUAUCAUUUUUAUGUAUAUAAUAUAUAUAAUAAAUAUAUAUUUUAUAUACUAUCGCCUGUCAAUCCUCGAUAUGUCUGGACCUGGUAAGAUUUCCCGCGUUGGGUCAAAUUAAGCCACAUGCUCCACGCGUUCUUGUGGUGCCCUU